AUUGAACGCUGGCGGAAUGCUUUACACAUGCAAGUCGAACGGUAGAGGGGGCAACCCCUUGAGAGUGGCGAACGGGUGAGUAAUAUAUCGGAACGUGCCCAGUCGUGGGGAUAACGUAGCGAAAGUUACGCUAAUACCGCAUACGAUCUAAGGAUGAAAGCGGGGGAUCGCAAGACCUCGCGCGAUUGGAGCGGCCGAUAUCAGAUUAGGUAGUUGGUGAGGUAAAGGCUCACCAAGCCAACGAUCUGUAGCUGGUCUGAGAGGACGACCAGCCACACUGGAACUGAGACACGGUCCAGACUCCUACGGGAGGCAGCAGUGGGGAAUUUUGGACAAUGGGACGUCAAGUCUGGAUCCAGCCAUUCCGCGUGCAGGAUGAAGGCCCUACGGGUUGGUAAAACCUUGG
This 406-nucleotide ribosomal RNA is filed under the name uncultured bacterium. Its description in RNAcentral is "bacterial SSU rRNA". It matches the Rfam family "Bacterial small subunit ribosomal RNA", at positions 30 to 437 of the family's 1533-position model. The record is from RNAcentral.